This 460-nucleotide ribosomal RNA is filed under the name uncultured bacterium. Its description in RNAcentral is "partial 16S ribosomal RNA". It matches the Rfam family "Bacterial small subunit ribosomal RNA", at positions 338 to 795 of the family's 1533-position model. The record is from RNAcentral.
CCUACGGGCGGCAGCAGUGAGGAAUAUUGGUCAAUGGGCGAGAGCCUGAACCAGCCAAGUCGCGUGAAGGAUGACGGCCCUACGGGUUGUAAACUUCUUUUGUCAGGGAGCAAUUGAGUCCACGUGUGGGCUUAUCGAGAGUACCUGAAGAAAAAGCAUCGGCUAACUCCGUGCCAGCAGCCGCGGCAAUACGGGGGAUGCGUGGGUUAUCCGGAUUUAUUGGGUUUAAAGGUUGCGUAGAGGGAAUAUAAAGUCAGCGGUAAAAAUUCGGGGCUAAACCCCGUCGUGCCGUUGAAACUGAUGUGCUUGAGUGGGGGAGAGGUAUGCGGAAUGCGUGGUGUAGCGGUGAAAUGCAUAGAUAUCACGCAGAACUCCGAUUGCGAAGGCAGCAUACCGGCGCCCAACUGACGCUGAGGCACGAAAGCGUGGGUAGCGAACAGGAUUAGAUACCCGGGUAGUC